AACCCCGCCACAAGUAAGCAGGCAGGCAGCAUCAGUUUUGGAAGUCCGCUCAGCUCGCUUCUGACUGCUGACAGCAGCUCGAUGAUCCUCUGCUGCACCCUCUUCUGGUUGCAUCUGCAUCCCCUCAGCAUCACGCCUCUCAACUUUCUCGUCUGCCUUGUGGUCCAUCGUUCUGCGGUAAUCGACCUUAACGCCAGGGAGCAUUAACGACGACUACAACAGAGUCGGAGAAGCGAGAUAUUCCCCAUCCGUGGCCUUAUCUAAGAGAAUAUGUAGAGAAUUGUUUUGUUGUUUUGUCAAGUUAUCAAAACGAGUAUUGUGCAUAAAUGAUGGUAAACAUGUUGUUUUACUAUUGCAGUUAUAUCAAUUCUGUUUGUAACUUUUAUUUCAGGCCUGAGUUGAAUCUGUACAUCUACUUUUGCCAGUCUUUUACACAAGUAUCUGGAUGUUGACAUAAGCACUGAGUUUGAGUCCUUUGGCACCUCUGUAGGCAUGUCGUUUGCACAACAUCUCAUGUAUAGGUUUACAUAGUGCUAUUACAAUUGACCUAAAUCUAAAGGCUAAAACAAAAUGUACAAAAUCUAAAGGCCACAACAAAAUUAACAAAUUAUCUUUUUUUUUGUUAAUUCAGUCACGACUGUAAGUAGUUCACAUGCGUUCCUAUUUACCAUUUUAGGUGAGGCUUCUUGGUGUACUUGUUUUGUUACAGAUUUGUUUAAAAUGUUUUAUUUAUACCAUAUUCCCAGGAAUGUGUGGAUUAAAAGAUUAAUGUCACAGGACCAGGGAAAUUGGACCAGCAAAGAUUGAAUUGAGAGGGGCAUGUGUCAUUCUACUCUAAUUUGCGCUACACCAAGUUCUCUGGUAGAACAUUUAAGACAAGUUAGAAAGUGCAAGAAUUAUGCUCUGUUUUUAUUGAAAAUUCUUCUGGACCAGGCGGCACAGUUUGCACAUCUGCCUCACAGUUCUGAGGACCGGGGUUCAAAUCCGGCCGCACCUGUGUGAAGUUUGCAUGUUCUCCCCGUGCCUGCGUGGGUUUUCUCCGGGCACUCCGGUUUCCUGCCACAUCCCAAAAACAUGCGUGGUAGGUUAGUUGAAGACUCUAAAUCGCCCGUAGGUGUGAAUGUGAAUGCAAAUGGUUGUUUGUUUAUAUGAGCCCUGUGAUUGGCUGGCUCCGGGACGCACUAUAUAAAACUGAUGGAACGAUUUCUGGACAGUUUAUUUAAAACACAAUAUCAAUAAAAGUACACAAUGCGGUUACAAACUA
Molecule: long non-coding RNA, 1264 nt
Organism: Phyllopteryx taeniolatus (common seadragon)
Lineage: Eukaryota; Metazoa; Chordata; Actinopteri; Syngnathiformes; Syngnathidae
Exons: 2
Source: RefSeq, a predicted model, not a curated record